RNAcentral lists this long non-coding RNA (17196 nucleotides) under Theobroma cacao (cacao). RNAcentral describes it as "long non-coding RNA (TCAC_LNC004515)". The record is from RNAcentral. Lineage: Eukaryota; Viridiplantae; Streptophyta; Magnoliopsida; Malvales; Malvaceae.
GAUUUUUCUUCUUCUUCAUCCAUGCUCCAUGCCAUUCUUGAAGCUUCCAUGCCAUUUUCUCUUUAUCCACCAUGAAAUCAAGUUUUCUUCACUUUCCUUUCCAUGUUUUCUUUUCCUUUCUUCUCCAAACUUCUUGAGCACUAAAUUUACAGCCUUUAACCCCAAUUUCUAGCACAUCUAAACCCUAGGAGGAGAAGAAAGAAAAAGAGAGAAAGGAAGAAAAAGCUUGGUUUUGGUGAUUCAAGCAAGGAAAGGUAAGAAUUCUUGUUUUUGGCUUGAGUACUCUUUGGAAAUGAGUUAGUGACUUAGAGAAAUGUCUUGUGGCAACAAAGAUUCGCUGGAUUGGAGAAAAAUUGAUAACAUGUAAGCCAAUAAACCCAUGGGUACAUGAAGGACUCAAAGUGGAAAAGGAAAACGGUAAGCUUAACAUUAUGUUUUAAAGCCUACGGUUAGUUGAAUAUUGUGAGGAAUUAUGGUUGUUGAAAGGAUUUAUUUGCCUAAGCUAGUUGAAAAUUAUUAAGAUUGUAUGGCAUGUUGUUUGAAAGAAAUAAAAAAGGAAUAUUGUAGAUGGAGUGUCACGACCCGGAACCUCCCUCGAGCCAUGACAACUGCCGCGACAUCCCGAUUUACACUCAUUACCCUGAAUGCCAAUUGGAACCCCGCAAGGCUUACGUAUCAGUUUCUUGCCUUUCCUGUGAGCAAUCGCUGUUAAACAUUCUGUUUUAAACAAUUACCAAUCAUUUCCGGCUCAAGUAAAUCAAAAGACAAAAUUAUUUUAAAAGGAUUUAUAGACAAAUAUUACUAUUCAAAAUAUUGAUUAAAAUAUAGCAUUUUUAUAGAAAAUAAUAUUUAUAGAAACACGUUUAAGUAAAAUAAAUUCAUACAUACAAUAAUUUACAAUGUUAUAAUGUACAAUAAUAAUUACAAUGACAAGUGGCCCAUAAAUACGUCAAGUGUUGGAGAUAGUAACCUACUGUUUGUGAGAUAGAGGGGUUAACUGGAAUCCUGGACAAAAUCGGGUAUCUACAAGCUACCAUAAGCCUGAAAUAUUUGGAAAGGAGGUGGGUGAGAUUUUGCAAUCCCAAUGAGUAAACAGACAUUAUUAUAAAUAUCUAAAGACGAGUGAAAUGGAGGCAAGUUUAAAAAACAAAUCACAAACCAUUUCAUAAGGUUUUCAAUUUAUUUCUUAAAUCAUAAAAUAUUUGUAAUUUACCCAAAACAGUUGUUAAGGAUCAUGACUUUUAUUAUAAACAGGGUUCAAGCCAAAAACUAGUCCUCGAGGAUACCUUGGCCGAGGCAUCUAAUUGAGUCCGCCAAGGUUGUUAAGAUAGUUACAUGUUAAACACAUGUUAGUUUUGAAAACAAGUCGUUCCUUGGCGUUGGCCGAGUUACACAUUCACGUGGGGGUUCGAUGUGAAGUGAGCUCUAACACUACCCCAGGAGUUACCUUUCUCGCCUCUACAACCGAAGUAACUAUAUAAUCGUGUUUACCGUACCCCUCUAAUAGGCAGUCCAUGAAAACCCGUCACUGCAGUGACUAAACCCACCAAUUUUAAUAAAAUUUUGACAAUAUAACGUGGCUUUUAUUUAUUUACCCAGCCUGCAUAGUAAAAAACAGCUUGCAUAAAUUCCCAAUGCAAAUUAUAAAAUAUAGCCACUUAUACUCAUAUAUCAUCAGCUAUUCAUAGGAAAAUAUAUUUUUCAAGACAAUUAACAGCCUCCCAUUUACUCAAUUUCAUAAUCAAAAGUUUCUUAUUUCAGAUAAUCAACAUAAUAUAUUUAUUUGUCACAUUUAUUUCUAAAACAUCAAAAGUCCCAUUUUAAUCUCAUUUUCGUUUCAUAAAAUACAUAAAGAGCAUUUAAAAAUAAACUCUAGAUAAUUUACACUAAUAAUAGGUUUACUCACCGUUUGUACAAAUUAAAUGCUUUCUAGGUGCCCCGAUGUAAAACCCGACUGUAUAAACACAUGUCAUGACAUACAUGCACUGAGUAGCAUGUUAUUAUGCUAGGAAAGCACCUAAGAAUAGACGAAACCCGGUAUCGUACCUAACAGUACUCUUGAGUUGAUUUAACCUCGAACUAGUUCAAAUAGGAAUUGUAGAAUGAAAUUUAAUAUUUUAUAGUCCAAGAAUGACGAAAAAUGAUUGUUCGGAGUUCGAGGGUUCAUUAGGGGUAAAAUUGAAAAUUUUGAUGUUCAUGGGCAAAAAUCGUCAUUUUGCCACCUAAGAUAAUAAUUUGAUCAUGGAGUGAAAUUUUUGACCAAGAUUAACUUUUUGGAGUAUAAUUUAAUGAUAGGAAGUGAAAAUUUUCAAUUUCAGUAAUUUUCGGAACGUAAGGGCAAAACGAUAAUUUUAUCAUCUCGGGGUAAAAACCGUAAUUUUCACCACCCAAAACUUGUCAAAAUCAUAGGAUUUAUUUAUUUUUGGUAUGAACAACUAUGGUACGUUAAGUGGUGAAAAAUUGAAGUUUAAAAGACAAAAUUUUAAAAAUGGGCUAAUGGGAAAGUGACACAUGGCACUUUUUAAUGAUUUAAUAUUAUUUUAAUGAAACGUCAGCCCAUUUAAACCCCAUUUUAAGUGAUGGCCGGCCAUAAGGGAGAACAAGAGAGAAAAUAGAGAGGAAAGGAAGAAAAAAAGAAAAACCAAAGAGAAACAAGAAAAUUCAAAGUGGAAUUCGCAUUUUUCGCCCGUUUAGGCGUCUAACGGUAAGAUUUUUUGCCUUUAGCUUGAUUUCUACCUUUCCUAUGCCUUUGUUUCCAUUUAGCAUGCUUGAGGAGAGAGAUCUAAAAGUGACAUCAAGGGCUGGCUGAAUUUCACGGGAGGAGAAAUUGAAAUUUUUAGGUUUUGAUUUUUAGUUAAAUUGAUAGUUUUAGUUAGUUAAAUGUGUUUAGAAAUUAAAUUGGGCAAGAAAGCAUUAAAUUUUCACAAUACCCACCCUUGGCUGAAUCUGCAAUGAGGUACAAUGAUGAUGAUCUGAUUUUUAUUCUAAGAGAAAUGAAGAGAAAAUGAUGAAAAAUGAUUAAAUGUGAUAGAAAAUCAAAGUAGAAAAUUUACCGAGUUAAUGUCCCAUUUUUGGCCAAAUUUUCCAAGGAGGAAAGUGAACUGAUUUUGGUGAUUUUAGAAGGUUAUUGACUAAUAUUUAAUGGUUAGAAAUGUUGGAGAGAGAAUGGGAUGAUUUAGAGAUAAAAUGGAGCGCGUUAGCAAUUUAUUGGGUAAAGUGCCAAAAAUAGGUUAAUACCGCGUUUAAGCCGUUUUAGGCUAUUGCAUUUCAUACCAUGCAUUAGUAUAGGAUUUAAGUCAAUUAUAUAGUGAUUUAGCAUCAAUGUGGUGAAUUGGGUAAAUUUUGCAAUGUGUCUAGGAGGAGAGCCUUCCGAUAAAGGCAAGGAAGUCGUACCCGACCAACAGUGAUCAGGGCACCUAGGAAGCAUUUCAUCUGUACAAACUGUGAGUAAACCUAUUAUUAUUGUAAAUUAUCUAGAGUUUAUUUUUAAAUGCUCUUUAUGUAUUUUAUGAAACGAAAAUGAGAUUAAAACCAGAUUUUUGAUGUUUUAGAAAUAAAUGUGACAAAUAAAAAUAUAUUGUGUUGAUUAUGAAAUUGAGUAAUUGGAGGCUACCAAUUGUCUUGAAAAAUAUAUUUUCUUGUGAAUGGCUUAUGAUAUAUGAGUAUAUGUGGCUAUAUUUUAUAAUUUCAUUGGGAAUAGAAUGUAAGCUGUCUUUUACUAUGCAGGCUGGAUAAAUAAAUAAAAGCCACGUUAUACUGUCGAAAUUUUAUUAAAAUUUGUGGGUUUAGUCACUGCAGUAACGGGUUUCUGUGGAUUGCCUAUUAGAGGGUCACGGUAAACUCGGUUUCAUAGUUACUCCGGUUGUAGAGGCGAGGAGGGUAACUCUCGAGAUAGUGUUAGAGUUCACUUCACGUCGAACCCCCACGUGAAUGUGUAACUCGGCCAACGCCAAGGAACGACUUGUUUUCAAAACUAUAAUGUGUUUAACAUGUAAAUAUCUUAACAACCUUGGCAGACUCGGUUAGAUGCCUCUGCCAAGGUAUCCCUAAGGACUAGAUUUUGGCAUGAGCCAUGUUUUUAAUAAAAGUUAUAAGCCUUGACAACUGUUUUGGUAAAUUACAAAUGUUUUACGGUUUAAGAAAGAAAUUGAAAACCUUAUGAAAUGGUUUGUGAUUUGUUGUUUAAACUUGCCUCCAUUUUACUUGCCUUUAGAUAUUUAUGAUAAUGCCUGUUUACUCAUUGGGAUUGCAAAAUAUCACCCACCUCCUUUCCAAACUUUCCAGGCCUGUGGUAGCUUUUAGAUAUCCAAUUUUGUCGAGGAUUCCAGUUGACCCCUCUAUCCUACAAACAGUAGGUUACUAUCACCAAUACUGGGUGCAUUUAUGGGCCACUUGUCAUUGUAAUUAUUAUUGUACAUUAUAACUUUGUAAAUUAUUGUAUGUAUGAAUUUAUUUUAUUCUCACACUAAAAAAAUUAUUUAUGUAUAGUUCUAUAAAAAUUGUUUUAUAAGAAAAUAAAAUAUAUUAUCAAAUAUUUUUAUUUAGUUUAAUUAGCCAACUUUUCACUCUAAAUGAAUGAUUUAGAUUACAAAAAUUUAUUUUUAAUUGGCAAUGGAUAUUUUUCUACCAUACGUUGUUUCUUUAUCAGGUUUCAAAAUUUUUUGGUAAAAAUGACCAAAAUACCCCUAUGUGGCAAAAAUUUUAUUUUGAUUGUUUUCGAUCUAAAAAAGUUUAUAUUUUCUUAAAACUCGAUAUUUAACAACGAUUACUCACAGGAAAGGCAAGAAACUGAUUUGCUAGCCUUGCGGGGAUUCGAUUGGCAUUCCGGAUAAUGAGUGUCAAUCGAGACGUCGCGGCGGUUGUCAUGGGCCUGAGGGAGGUUUCGGGUCGUGACACUCGAUUACUGUUCGUCGGGUACGACUUCCUUGCCUAUACCGGAAGGCUCUCCUCCUAGACACAUUGCAAAAAUUACAUAAUUCGCCACAUUGAUGAUAAAUCACUAUAUAACUUACUUAAAUCCUAUGUUAAUGCAUGGUAUGAAAUGCAAUAGCCUAAAAUGGCUUAAACGCGAUAUUAACCUAUUUUUGGCACUUUACCCGAUAAAUUGCUCUAAAUUAAUUUUUUUCAGUUUCUAUACCUCAAAUGCACCCAAAUUGACUUAAUGUCCCCCAGUGUGGUGCAAAUUAUCAGUCUCGGUAGCAAAUUACGAAAAUACCCCUAAUGGGUAAAAAUUCGUAUUUUUGCUCCGAAAAUUCCCAUUAUUUUUCUAGGCUCAUAAUUCAUCAUUAUUCAUCAUAAUUCCUCAAAUAAACAUCAAGAUCAGCAGCCAAUAUUCCCCUGGAAAAUUUGGCAUAAUGGGUUUCAAUGGGAGAAAAUUAUUUCUCUAGCUUAUUUUUGCUAUAUUACAAUAUAACCUAACUAAAAUCACUUAAUUCAAUUAAAAUCAACCAAAACUCAAGCUCAAAACUCAUCCAUGGAGGUUUGGCCAGCAUGGGUGUCCAUACCUACUUUCUAAUUUUGUAUGGAAAUGACAAAAAAUGCAUGGGUAGUGAAAAUCACAAGGAAAAUCAAUGAAAUUUACCUUUUUAAUGCUUGAUUUCUUGAUUUCUCUUGAUUUUCCCCAAAAUUUUCAGCUAGGGUUCUUAUUUAUUUUCCCCCUUUUCUCUCCUGGUUUGGACGGCUUGAAGAAGAUGAGAAUUCUGAAAAUUUUGACCUUUUUGAAGGCUAAAAUAAUAAAAUAUUAUUUUAUUCAUUUUUUUAAUAUUUUAUUAAUUCCUUAAAUUCUAGCCAUCCAUUUGUUUCCAAAUUUUCACCAUACACUUGUCCCACAUAUCCAUAGCUUAGAUAAAAUUCUCAGACUUAUCCAAAGUCUUGGUGGAGUAAUUUUUUAAAUUUACACUUUUGCCCCCGUAAAAGUCAAAAAUUACAUUUUUGCCCCAAAAACUGAAAAAUUGCCCAUAGACAUAUUUUUCAUCCCUUAUACUCAUACCAUUCUCCAAUUUGUCAAAUUUGAUCUAAAUUCUCUCAAAAUCUCAAAUUUUGUCCGUGGGUGGCAAAAUUACGAUUUUGCCCCUACACUCCAAAAAUCACCAGAAUUAAACAUUUUCACUUCCUAUCAUUAAAUUAUACUCCAAAUAGUUAAUCUUGGUCAAAAAUUUCAUUCCAUGAUCAAAUUAUUAUCUUAAGUGGCAAAAUGACGAUUUUGCCCCUAAACAUCAAAAUUUUCAAUUUUUCCCCAAAUGAACCCUUGAACUCCAAGCAAUCAUUUUUAGUCAUUCCUGGACUAUAAAAUAUUAAAUUCCAUCCUACGAUUCCUAUUUGAACUAAUUCGAGGUUAAAUCAACUCAAGUGUACCGUUAGGUACAAUACCGGGUUUCAUCUAUUCUUAGGGACUUUCCUAGCGAAUAACAUGCUACUCAAUGCAUGUAUGUCAUGACAUGUGUUUAUAGGGUUGGGUUUUACAUGGAGGAUUGAGAAAGAAAGUAUUGAAAGUUAGAUAGAUAAUGAUGCAUGUAAAUUAGGAAAUAAUCAAGUGAAAGUGAGAAGGAUUGUUGCUUCCAUAUAUGUGUAUUAUGUGUAGAAAUAUAAGAUGGAUUUGGGCAAAAAUUAUUUAGAAAGGUUGAAGUAGGCACGUGACAUCAUAAAUAAGUUGUCGGUGAUAUAAUACAAGAAAUUUCGUAAGUAAUGGAUAUAAGUAAUUUUGGUAAAAAUGUAUUAAGAUAUGAGUUAAUUGAAGAUGGUUUCAUGAUAGGAUGAAAAAUAUAAAUUUGAGUAAGGAUUAAUUUAUUGAAGUGCUGCCCGUAUACGUAUGUAACUAAAUAUAUUGAGUUCGUAUUACUGCUAGGAAGUGAAAAGAUAAGGUUAGAGAACUGUGGUUGUUGCCAGGUGAGUGAACUUGCAUUUCAAAAUUUGCUUUGGGAAAUGUAAAUGUAUUUGGGUGAAACAUUUGAAUGAUUUUAACUAUCCUUUCUUUAAAAAUGUGUGUCGGGGGACAAGCCCUUGAUAAAAAUGUCUCGAUGUUGUGAAAAUGUGAAUUGUGUAAAAAGAUGAAUCCGUGUGCUCCUAUAUUAUGUUGGUAUGUAUGUAUAUAAAUAUAUGUUGUGCAUUGAUGAAUAAUGAUGAGUUGAUGAUGACCCAGCUAUGUGCGGAUGUAGGGAGUGCACAUGAGCUUAUGAUGACCCCGCUAUGUGCGAGUAGGAAGUGCACAUGAUGAUGAUGAUGAUGAUAUGGAAAUGUGCGAGUAAGGAGUGCACAUGACGAUGAAUGAAGUGGGGUGGUGAACAUGUGUAUAUAUGUUUCUAUAUGUAUAUGUGAUAGAAAGUUUAUGAUUAUAAUAUAUGAUUGAAAUGAAUAAUGAAAACUUAAGUAUUGUCAAUGUGUUCAAUUUAAUGUGUAAUGUGGCAUGAGUGGAUAUUCUAGGUGGCAGUGAAAACCCCUUGGAUUUUAUCUGGCUAGAAUUUUGUUGCAGCGAGAAUGCCUUUUCGCUGCGGUGAGAGUCAAUCUAUUAUGCUUAACUUGCUUGGAUUCUACUAAAGAGUUUUUACUUCUCAACUUCUUUAUUGUUCAUGAGUUUUUUGUCAUCAAGUGACUAAGCGACCAAGGGUUUGAAUAAGGGGUUUUUAGUAAGAAAUUAAUUCAAUUGCAUUGUUUUUGAAACAAGUACAUCAUGUUUUCUAAACCUUCCUUAAUGUUACUUGUUCCCCUUCUAUGUUCACUCACUGAAUUUGUACUCACGUUUUUUUUUAAAUUCAUGUUUUAGGUUUUCUAAGUUAAAGGUGAUUGGAUUCUAGGACGAGGUGCUCUUCCCUAUACAUUGCUCGGUAGGUUUAACGUGCCACUAAGUGUUAUCAAUCGUGCCCAGAGUCACUCUGCUGAUGGUCGAGGUCUAAUUAUGUGUAUAUGGAUAUUUGAUGUGAAAGAUUAAGGUUCAUUUGUUAUUCUAUAUAUGUAUAUAAUGGUUGAUGAUGCCAUUAUGAAUGCAUGACUGGGUUUUAUGAAUUAUUUUCAAAAGAAUUAUAAUUGAGUAUUAAGAAUUUUGGAUUCUAAAGGAAUAUGGAUUAAUGUAUAAGAUCCUGUAAGUAGGCUUGCUUGGGCAUGGUGGGUUGAGCCCAUUGGGGCUUUGAGUCGAUCAUGGUUCGAAAUUUGGGUUGUGACAAAGUUGGUAUCAGAGCUCUGGGUUUAGUUGAAUCCUAGGGAUUCCUGUGUGGUCAGCGGAGUUGUUGGAGUCCGUGUAAAGUCUUGUCCUUGGAUUGUGGGUGCGCAAUGUAAAUCAAGGACAAGGGGCUACAUGGGCCCCUACUUCAUUAGAAACCUACCUAUUUUUAUGAUGUAUAGAUGGAUGAGUAAUCAAUACUUGGUUGCGUAUAGGUGGACGUGCGUCGGUUGCACAUGCCACGUCUAGAAAAGACGGUAGUCUCGAUACCCCUUAUAGUACCUAGCAAAGGAUCGCUAGAUUCCACUGCUCGGAGCCGAUAUGUGCCCGAGGGUGAAAACGUAACAAGUAACCUGACCCGAUUUUUGAGUGGAUCGGUUUCCCUGAGAGGUAAACCAUUAUUUAAAAGCCUGGGUAGUCUUGCAAGAUUGGUGUGUAAUGAAAUCGACCAGACAAAAAAGAACACGAACAAGAUUAGAAAAAGGACGAUCAGUAAUUAUUGUCCUAGGAAAGUAUCUGUAUCUGUUGUUCGACACUUCCCUUCUGAUUGUGGGAGAGGUGCUGCACCUGUUAGUAAGGAGGAAUUUCGAAGGUAGCAACAAGCUCGGAUUAAGGAUAAAAUGGAAAAAUCCCAAGAGAUGGGAAAGGACCCGAAAAAGGAUCCAUCGAAGUGCCUGGAUCGAGGCGACGAGGAUCCUAAAGACACAUAAUAUUUUGGUUAAAGUUCGUAUCACUUUAAGUCUAGACAGAUGCGGUGUAAGGGAAAUAGUAGUAGUUAUCUAUACAAAGGAGUUAAGAGUUGGCUUUUAUUUUGUAUGACUUAAAUGGAUUAUGAAGUAGUUGUUUUAAUGACUUGAUUCGUAUUGGAGUCCUUUGAUACGAUAGAGAUAUAUUAGAGAUAUAAUGAUUGAGGGAGGAUAUUCAACUUCGUGGCGUCGUUGGUCACCUUGGAUAAUUAUUAAGGAUCGACGUAGAAAGUCAUUAAUGGUACAAACAACUACGAGACCUGACAAAAGAUUACCAAUUAAUCGUGGAAAGGUGAAAUUUGAAAUCCUAGUUGCAAUUACAAUUUGGAAGGAUAUGGGAGAAAUCAAUGACGAUAUAGGUGACACUUAGAAUGGAUGAUGUGAUUAAGUCAAGGAUUGUAAAAUUUAAGUUUGAAAGGAUUUACAAAAUGAUGCCAUGAUAUUAUGAGGUAAUAAUUGGGCACAAAUAUGAAACUUGGGAAAAGGUGAAACAUUGAUUUAAUAAAGAUUGUGAAUGUAGAGCGUGGAGAAAGAUGAACUAUUUUCAUGGUCAUUUGUACUGAAAGUCAAGAAAACUAUUUGAGUUACAUGACAAGAAAAACAAUUAAUUGUGAAUGUUAAGGAAUUAUAGAAUGUCAUAAAUGGUGAAUAAUUUUGUGUGUGGUAUUAUAUACUGAGAAUUUGAUGCACAAUAUGGCAAGAUUGUCCUAAGGUGGGACUUAUUGGUUGAAGAUAAAUGUUAAAGGAUAAAAUGAGUUUGAAAAAAUUGACUCUACUUAGUGCAUAUUAUAAGCAAAAGAAAAGAUAUGCAUGGUCAUGAAAAUGUGGGAUAGGCCUGGAGGAAAGCCAAAUGGUUGAGCAUGAUCCCUGUAGUAACUUUAAAGAUGGAAGAACUUAUUCAUGGAAGAAAUUUCUAGUAGCCACAGUGCUACAGCACUAACUCUUUAGUGCUGCAGCGUUGGAACUAUUCCAUGUCCAGCAACCGCGACGCUGCAGCACUGACUGUCCAGCGUCGCAGCGCUAGGGACACUUCAUGUCUUGGAUGCAUGAGGAAGAUGGGAGUUUUAAAUGUUCUAGAGAAUGUUUACAUGAAGGAAUUGAAAAGUUUUUUUAUUGCCUUGUUUAGGGGUAUAUAAAGAAAAAAAAAAGGAAGUUGAAAGAUUCUUGAGAUGACUACAUUGAGAUAAGAUACCAUGUGAAGUAUUAGGAUGAAUAAUAUGUUGACCAAUGUCAAAUUCUAAGAAAUAAGGGAGAUGAGAGAUUAAGCCUUGUUAAAGGCUAAGGAAAAAGUGAGCGAAGAGUUAGAUGAAUAUAUGAGAGAUGGGUAAGGGAUGUCAAUACCAAGUAAUGAAAGUGUGAAUGAAGGAUUACAAGAGUGGUAUAGCAAAUGGGAUUAUCCAGAAUAUCGUUAUGAGAAUUUUCAAUUCUUAUCUUGAAGCAGCUAAAUGAAAAGGAAUAGUAAUAAUGCAAGGCUAAUUAUGUGGCACACUAGAAACCUAUGAAGACAAUUUGAAGAUUGAAUGGACGAGUACGUAUUUAUAUAUCUUUAAGAAUAAGUGCAUACCUAUAGAAUGACAUGCUCGGGAUGUUAAGGAGCACAUAAGAGACUAAGUGUUUCGGGAAUGCACAAACCUUUUUGAGAAGGAAUUACCAAUCAUACACAGCAAGUAUAAAAUGUGGGAUUUUUGAAACUUGAUGAGGAGCCUAACGGCUAAGUCACGAUUUAAGUGAUCACAUGCGGUGAAACGUGAGUUUAAGAUAAGUAUCACCAAGGAAAUACUCAAGAGUAGUUCUGUUGUGGAUCUUGUGAAAGCAAGCAUUAAGUUAUGUGGUUACAAAGAAAAAGUCAUAAGCUGAAAGUGAGAUUCAUAUUGACGUUGAAAAGUACUUAAGGAGAACCUUGUUUCAAGUCUUGUAGUUUCAAAUACAAACUGCAGAUUGGUCCGGGCAAAAUGAUGUCAUAUUAGUAUGAAAGAAUAGAACAAAGGAUGAUCGAAGAGAAUUUGGAUAAUGAAGUCCAAUAAUGAAAACUUCUUAAGGUAGUAUGGAAUUGGAAUUCAAAAAUGCUUAAGGCAUGCACGAUUCAAAUGAGUUUAAGUUUUAAGUGAUUCAUUAAAGUUGAAAUGCAACAAGGAUAUAAUGUAUAAGAAUAAUUGAGAAACAAGGAUGACUUUUAGAGAUUGUGGUAUUGCAUAAGAUGCAAUGAUAAUAAAGAUAAACCUUUGAAAGAUCAACGAGAUUAUAAAGCAUAUACGAAUACCGAAUUACAAUUUAAUGCAAAUGACAUUUAGCAAGUGAGAUGUGAUUAAUGACAUUGUGAUGCAAGGAUAAAUAGUAUGGUGAAACUCAAGCAUAUAAUUGGAAAUGAUAUGAACGAUAUGAAGUUGUGCAUAGGCAUAACAAGAAUGUUGACCUGCACUAUGAGGAUUAUUAUAUUGAAUCUUGGAUAGGGAUAGAGAUGAAUUAAGGAAAAUGUAGUCCAAGGCACGUGAACACAUGGAUCCCUAUGCGUAACAAGGGAUAUUGACAUUUGAAAAUGCAUGUACACAUGUAUAUGUGAAACUGGUGACUUGACUAACUAAGGUGAAGAAUUGUUCUCAGUAAUUGGAGAUUUGAACUUCAUGUAUUGAUGAGUUGUAUAAAUAGUACAACGGCAAGAAGUCCCAAUAGAAGUUGAACUAUGAUGAUAUAAGAAAUUUUAGAAAAGAUAAUCAGAGAAUGGGAUUAAAGAAAUGUAGUCCAUAGCGAGGGAAUAAUUGAAGUAUAUGGUGUAAAUGCAAGACAAACCUGAAGUAUGUAGAAAUAAUUGAAGGCAUUAGCCUUUCUCAACAUUGAGACUAUGUACAAAAAUAAAUAUGGCAUGUUUAUAAUGUUAUAGGCUACAUAAUAGUGUAUGGGGAUAAGAUGAAUGAAUGAAUGUCGAGAACCUUGGCAAGGAGAGAAACAAUAAAAUGGUGAUUAAGUAUACAUAAGUAUAAUAUGUGAUCAAAAUCGGUAUGAUUGAGAUGGAGUAUGGUUCAAAUUUAAUGAUGGUGAUAGAGGCAUGCUUGGAGUCUCAAUAUAAGAUAUUAUGAUUGUGAAGGGUACUGCUGAUCUGAUUCUAAAGGAUAAUAAUAGACAUAAGUGAAGUAUUCAAGUUGAACUUGAGGUAAACGAGGUGAAUAGAUCGAAAUUCCCUAUAAAAAGAGAAAUGGAAUAAGAUCAUGGUGUGAGAUUGAUAACUCGACAUCGACAUGAAUUCAAGGACGAAUUCUAGUUAAGUGGGGGAGACUAUUGUCAUGACCCGGUACAACCUUCGAGCCCGUGACAACCGUCGCGGUGUCUCGAUCAACACUCAUUACCCGGAAUGUCAACUAGAACCCCGCAAGGCUUUAAUAUCAGUUUCUCAUUUCCCUUGUGAGUAACCGUUGCCAAAUAUCAUGUUCUAAAAGAUUUUAAGCUAUUUCCAACUUAAAUCAAUAACAAAAAUGAUUUCUGUCUCAUAGGGGCAUUUUGGUCAUUUUUCCUAAAAAAUCUCGAAACUAGCUAAAAAUGUAGUAUGCAAGUGGAAAACACAUAUUUCAUAAUAAAAAAUAAGUUUAGAUUUCUAAAACAUUCAUUGAAAGUGAAAUUAUAACUAUUUGAAUAUAAUAAAAAUAUUCAAUAAAAUAUUCUAUUUUCUUAUAAAACAACAUUUAUAGAGUUAUCGAUAAAUAAUUUUUUGUAGUGUAAAAGCUAAAUAAAUUCAUACAUACUGUAAUACAGAUAACCAAAGUAUAAAAUUUAAUUUACAAUGACACAUGGGCCCACGAACGAUCAAAAGUAUCAAAAGCGGUAAACCUACAGUUUUUAAGGAUGCAAGUCAAACUGUAGCCCUCAACAAAGUGAGCUAUCUACCAACUAUCCUGAGCCUAAAAUGGGUGGAAAGGAGGGUGGUGAGAUUAUAUAAUCCCAAUGAGUAAACAAAUACCAUCUACAAUAUCUAAAACUGAGUAAAUGGAGAUAGAUAAAAUAGAUUAGCAUAAAAAUAAUUCUCAGCAUUUUGAACUCAUUUUAAUAAGAUAAAAUAGAUUCAUUUUACCAAAAAAAACAACGAGGCUUAUGAUUUCUUGAAAAGUUUGGCUCGUGCCAAAAUAAUUCUCAUACUUAGUUAUCAGGGAUGCCUUGGCCAAGGGCUAUCCCAACCGAGUCCUCCAAGGCUGUUAAAAAGUUAUGUAUGCAUAAAUCAUGUUUUUAUUUUGAAAACAUAGUCAUUCCUUGGCGUUGGCUGAGUUCACCCUCACGUGGUGGUUUAGAGUGAAGUGAACUCUAAAGUCUUAACCUUAGGAGUUAUCCAACCGCGCCUCUCAUACUGAGGUAUGGAUAUAAUAGGGUUACCAUGCCCCUCUAAUAGGAUGGUCCACAGAACUCGUCCACUGCAAUGACCAAUUAUAACCCACCAAUUCAAUAAAAUUCAACAGCAUGACAUGACAAUUAUUUUAUUUUACAGCCUCUCAAGGCAAAUCAAUAAUUCAUACUUUUUCAGCACAUUUACCAAAUCCAACCAUUCAUGCCAAUAUUAUCAUAAGCCAUUCAAUUUAAACCAUGAUUUAUAACGCAACAAUUAGUCUCCAAAUACUCCAUUUUCAAAACAUCUUUCAAUUUCAAGUCAAUUUUAUAAAAUCAUUUCAUUUAAUCACAUUUUGUCUAUAAAACAUAAAGAUUUACCAUUUAAACUCAUUUUCCAUAAAAUCACAAAAAUGAAUAAAAACUACUUUAGAUAAUUAAGACGAUAAUAAGGUUACUCACUGUAAUAGAAAUCAAGUUCCGAGUACUUUGAUUCUUGAUCCUCAAGUACUAUCUCUUUACUUUUGCCAGAAUGCUCACCAUCUAGACAUAAUGCACAAUAAGCCAUUUACUACAUUUGUGCUAAAUUGUUAUAAAACCAAUUCAGGCUUUAUACUAAUGCAUGAAAUGGGAUGUAAAUUGUUCAGAUUAUCGUCUAAACAUGGUGUUCUACACAAAUUCAAUUGUGUACCUAAAUAAAAUGAUAUUGGCCUAAUUCAAUCUAUCACUCGAUUAAUUGGUCAAUAUGUCCAAUUCAACUCCAAUAAUUCCAUUUUUCUUCCAAUUCUCCAAACCAUCAAACAUAAGUUAAAUAACUUAAAAUAUGACAAAAUCAUCCUCACAUUUUCUCUUGGAAAAUUCGGCCAUGGUUGGUGCAUCAACACUAUAAUUUUUCAAGCUUGGUUCUCACACCAUAAAUCACUAAUUCCUAACCAAAUCACUUGAAAUAAAAUCAAAAUCAUCAUCAAUAUUCUACAUGGAGAAUUCGGCCAAUAAUGGGUGAUGGGAGGAAGGGAAUUUUUCUUGUUGGCUUUUCAUACUACACAUCACUAACUAACUAAAAACAAUAGAAUAUCUUAAAAUCUAACCAAAACAACCAUCAAAAUCUCUCUCUAAGUGUUCAGCCAGCAAGUGACCCAUCAUGAUUUCAUGUGAUUCAACCAUGGAAAAUAAGAAAAAAUGCUAAAGAAAGAGAGAUCUCAAGCUUAAUUGAAAAAUCUUACCUUUUUUUCACUUGUUUCCUUUAAUUUUCACACUUUUCCCUUGAAUUUUUCCACCUAGGGUUUUGUUCUUCCUUUUCUUCCUUUGUUCUUGCUUUGGUCGGCCAUAAGAAUGAGAAAUGGGCUGGUUUUGUGCUAAUUUAUGAGGAAAAUAAUAAAUGGAUAAAAAUUUGCCAUGUGUCACCAUUCCAUUGGUUCAUGUAUCAUACUUAUCCAUAAAGCAAUCUCUCUCCACCAUAUAAAUUUCCUCAAUUACCCAUGAUAAUAUUGGAAAAAAUCCAUGUGCUGGACAAGUGUUGGGUGGUGUAAAAUUACAAUUUUGCCCUCGGGUAGCAAAAUGACUAUUUUACCCCUAUGCUCGGAAAAAUGUCAAAAUUAAAAUUUUUCACUUCUCAAACUCAAAUUAUACUCCAAAUGAUCAAUCUUAGUAAAAAAUUUCAUCCAACACUCACAUCUUAACCUUGGGUAGCAAAAUGACCAUUUUGCCCCUAGGUCAUGAAAAUUCCAAUUUGAUUUCAAAUCGAUCCUCGAACUUCGAAUCACCAUUUUAAGUCUUUUUGGGGUUUUAAAAUUCUCAAUUUCAUCUUAAAAUCUCUAUUUGGACUAGUUUGAGGCUUAAAUCAACUUAGUUGUACCAUUUGGUACAUUGUCGUCCUUUAACGAUUUUCGAGAUACCCAAGUAAGCAAACAUGCAUUCUUAUGUAGGAAUGGCAUAAUAAACAUUGCAGAGCCGGGCUUGACGACUAUAAUACCCUGUACUUUGAUAUGGUGACUAAUAAAGCUUAUUGGAUGCCAAUUGAGGUUAAUUAUAAUGUUUAGAAAUGAUGAAAGAUGAAAGGAAUAGUUUAGGAUAAAAUAUUUUGCACAGGAGGAAAUAAUAAUAUUUUUAUCAGAGAAGAAUUUACGAGAUAAACAGUGAUUAGGAAGUCAGUUGAGGCAUAAUAAGGUAUUUUGGGUACCAAGGGGACAAGAGGAGACAAGAUGAAAUUUUUGAAAUAAAAUAAUAUUAAAAUAUUAAUAUUUUAUUCAGUGUCAAAAUUUUCCAUGAAGAAUGAGUUUAUGGUCAAUCUAAGUGGGGGAAAAGAAGAAUGAGACAAUUUUGGAGAAAGAUGACGUUAAUGGGGCCACGUGUCUUUAUUAAGUAAAGACAACGCAGGCAAAUAAAUAUUUUAAAUAUUAUGGGGACACCGUCUUGGAGUACAAACUUCAUACUUUGUUUGUACAUGUGUAGAAGAAGGUAAUAGAAGGAGAUUGGAGUUAAAUGAGUGUUGGGAGGACUAAAUUAAAAUGGAAGGAAACAAAAAGGGCAAAACGGUAAUUUUAUGUGAAGUUUGGUCAAAGCUUCUAAAGGAAGCUUUGACUCUAUUUUUUUAAGCCAAGACUAACCUUAUCCUUUCCCCCACCAGAUUUUUCUUCUUCUUCAUCCAUGCUCCACGCCAUUCUUGAAGCUUCCAUGCCAUUUUCUCUUUAUCCACCAUCAAAUCAAGUUUUCUUCACUUUCCUUUCCAUGUUUUCUUUUCCUUCCUUCUCCAAACUUCUUGAGCACUAAAUUUACAACCUUUAACCCCAAUUUCCAGCACAUCUAAACCCUAAGAGGAGAAGAAAGAAAAAGAGAGAAAGGAAGAAAUAGCUUGGUUUUGGUGAUUCAAGCAACGAACGGUAAGAAUUCUUGUUUUUGGCUUCAGUAGUCUUUGGAAAUGAGUUAGUGACUUAGAGAAAUAUCUUGUGGUAGCAAAGAUUGGCUUGAUUGGUGAAAAAUUGAUAACAUGUAAGCCAAUAAACCCAUGGGUACAUGAAGGACUCAAAGUGGAAAAGGAAAAUGGUAAGCUUAACACUAUGUUUUAAAGCCUAUGGUUAGUUGAAUAUUGUGAGGAAUUAUGGUUGUUGAAAGGAUUUAUUUGCCUAAGGUAGUUGAAAAUUAUUAAGAUUGCAUGGCGUGUUGUUUGAAAGAAAUGAAAAUGGAAUAUUAUAGAUGGAGGAUUGAGAAACAAAGUAUUGAAAGUUAGAUAGAUAACGAUGCAUGUAAAGUAGAAAAUAAUCGAGUGAAAGUGAGAAUGAUUGUUACUGCCAUAUAAGUGGAUUAUGUGUGGAAAUAUAAGAUGGAUUUGGGCAGAAAUUAUUUAGAAAGGUUGAAGUAGGCACGUGACAUCAUAAAUAAGUUACCGGUGAUAUAAUCUAAGGAAUUUCCUAAGCAAUGGAUAUAAGUAAUUUUGGUAAAAAUGUAUUAAGAUUGAGUUAAUUGAAGAUGAUUUCAUGAUAGGAUGAAAAAUAUAAAUUUGAGUAAGGAUUAAUUGAUUGAAGUACUGCCCGUAUACAUAUGUAAUUAAAUAUAUUGAGUUCGUAUUAUUGCUAGGAAGUGCAAAGAUAAGGUUAGAGAACUGUGGUGGCGUGCCAGAGUAAAUAACGAGUGACCGGCAAGUGAAAAUAGUUAGAGACAGCUCCAAACAAAUAGCGACUUAAUAUCUCGUUGUUGCUAGGUGAGUGAAAUUGCAUUUCAAAAUUUGCUUUAGGAAAUGUAAAUGUAUUUGGGUGAAACAUUUGAAUGAUUUUAUCUAUCCUUUCUUUAAAAAUGUGUGCCGAGGGACAAGCCCUUGUUAAAAAUGUCUCGAUGUUGUGAAAAUGUGAAAUGUGUAAAAGGAUGAAUCUGUGUGCUCCUAUAUUAUAUUGGUAUGUAUGUAUAGAAAUAUAUGUUGUGCAUUGAUGAAUAAUGAUGAGCUGAUGAUGACCCAACUAUGUGCGGAUGUAGGGAGUGCAAAUGAGCUAAUGAUGACCC